RNAcentral lists this ribosomal RNA (253 nucleotides) under uncultured bacterium. RNAcentral describes it as "partial 16S ribosomal RNA". It matches the Rfam family "Bacterial small subunit ribosomal RNA", at positions 524 to 776 of the family's 1533-position model. The record is from RNAcentral.
UACGUAGGGGGCUAGUGUUGUCCGGAUUUAUUGGGCGUAAAGAGCGUGUAGGCGGCCAGGUAGGUCUGCUGUGAAAACUCGAGGCUCAACCUCGAGACGUCGGCGGAAACCAUCUGGCUAGAGUCCGGAAGAGGAGAGUGGAAUUCCUGGUGUAGCGGUGAAAUGCGCAGAUAUCAGGAAGAACACCCGUGGCGAAGGCGGCUCUCUGGGACGGUACUGACGCUGAGACGCGAAAGCGUGGGGAGCGAACAGG